RNAcentral lists this non-coding RNA (27 nucleotides) under Mus musculus (house mouse). The record is from RNAcentral. Lineage: Eukaryota; Metazoa; Chordata; Mammalia; Rodentia; Muridae.
UGAGCUGAACUGAUGAUCCUAUGUAUU